GCAAUGCCGCGUGCAGGAUGAAGGCCUUCGGGUUGUAAACUGCUUUUGUACGGAACGAAACGGUGAGCUCUAAUACAGUUUGCUAAUGACGGUACCGUAAGAAUAAGCACCGGCUAACUACGUGCCAGCAGCCGCGGUAAUACGUAGGGUGCGAGCGUUAAUCGGAAUUACUGGGCGUAAAGCGUGCGCAGGCGGUUAUAUAAGACAGAUGUGAAAUCCCCGGGCUCAACCUGGGACCUGCAUUUGUGACUGUAUAGCUAGAGUACGGUAGAGGGGGAUGGAAUUCCGCGUGUAGCAGUGAAAUGCGUAGAUAUGCGGAGGAACACCGAUGGCGAAGGCAAUCCCCUGGACCUGUACUGACGCUCAUGCACGAAAGCGUGGGGAGCAAACAGGAUUAGAUACCCUGGUAGUCCACGCCCUAAACGAUGUCAACUGGUUGUUGGGUCUUCACUGACUCAGUAACGAAGCUA
Molecule: ribosomal RNA, 470 nt
Filed under: Rhodoferax sp.
Lineage: Bacteria; Pseudomonadati; Pseudomonadota; Betaproteobacteria; Burkholderiales; Comamonadaceae
Description: bacterial SSU rRNA
Rfam family: Bacterial small subunit ribosomal RNA
Source: RNAcentral